CUCCAUGUCCUACCAUUGGUUUGCAUCUUAUGUUGUAGUGCAUUGCUUCUUGCUGUUAUCCUUUAAACUGUCACCCACAAACCUUUAGCACACUUGUAAAAUUUACCAGGAAAGGUUAAAAGAUCUUAACAUGUAUAGCUUCAAGGAAUGACGAAACGGAUAUGAUAGAAAUAUUUAAAUACAUAAAGGGAAUCAACACAGUAAGGAGGAGACUAUAUUUAAAAUAAGGAGAACUACCACAACAAGAGGACAUAGUCUUAAAUUAGAGGGGCAAAGUUUUAAAAAUAAUAUCAGGAUUCAGGAAGUAUUAUCAGGAAUAGCCUUCCAGCUGAAGUGGUAGAAGUUAACACAGUGAAGGCGUUUAAG
Pelobates cultripes (western spadefoot toad) is the source of this 366-nucleotide non-coding RNA. NCBI's taxonomy places the organism in Eukaryota, Metazoa, Chordata, Amphibia, Anura, Pelobatidae. The record is from the annotation of a GenBank genome assembly.